GGCUAGAGUUUGAUCAUGGCUCAGAGUGAACGCUGGCGGCGUGCCUAAUACAUGCAAGUCGAACGAUGAAGCUUUUAGCUUGCUAGAAGUGGAUUAGUGGCGCACGGGUGAGUAAUGCAUAGGUUAUGUGCCCUUUAGUCUGGGAUAGCCACUGGAAACGGUGAUUAAUACUAGAUACUCCCUACGGGGGAAAGUUUUUCGCUAAAGGAUCAGCCUAUGUCCUAUCAGCUUGUUGGUGAGGUAAUGGCUCACCAAGGCUAUGACGGGUAUCCGGCCUGAGAGGGUGAUCGGACACACUGGAACUGAGACACGGUCCAGACUCCUACGGGAGGCAGCAGUAGGGAAUAUUGCUCAAUGGGGGAAACCCUGAAGCAGCAACGCCGCGUGGAGGAUGAAGGUUUUCGGAUUGUAAACUCCUUUUGUUAGAGAAGAUAAUGACGGUAUCUAACGAAUAAGCACCGGCUAACUCCGUGCCAGCAGCCGCGGUAAUACGGAGGGUGCAAGCGUUACUCGGAAUCACUGGGCGUAAAGAGCGCGUAGGCGGGGUAGUAAGUCAGAUGUGAAAUCCUAUGGCUUAACCAUAGAACUGCACUUGAAACUACUACUCUAGAGUAUGGGAGAGGUAGGGUGGAAU
This 634-nucleotide ribosomal RNA is filed under the name uncultured bacterium. RNAcentral's name for it is "bacterial SSU rRNA". It matches the Rfam family "Bacterial small subunit ribosomal RNA", at positions 1 to 667 of the family's 1533-position model. The record is from RNAcentral.